RNAcentral lists this ribosomal RNA (2908 nucleotides) under Escherichia coli. RNAcentral describes it as "partial 23S ribosomal RNA". It matches the Rfam family "Bacterial large subunit ribosomal RNA". Lineage: Bacteria; Pseudomonadati; Pseudomonadota; Gammaproteobacteria; Enterobacterales; Enterobacteriaceae. The record is from RNAcentral.
GUUAAGCGACUAAGCGUACACGGUGGAUGCCCUGGCAGUCAGAGGCGAUGAAGGACGUGCUAAUCUGCGAUAAGCGUCGGUAAGGUGAUAUGAACCGUUAUAACCGGCGAUUUCCGAAUGGGGAAACCCAGUGUGUUUCGACACACUAUCAUUAACUGAAUCCAUAGGUUAAUGAGGCGAACCGGGGGAACUGAAACAUCUAAGUACCCCGAGGAAAAGAAAUCAACCGAGAUUCCCCCAGUAGCGGCGAGCGAACGGGGAGCAGCCCAGAGCCUGAAUCAGUGUGUGUGUUAGUGGAAGCGUCUGGAAAGGCGCGCGAUACAGGGUGACAGCCCCGUACACAAAAAUGCACAUAUUGUGAGCUCGAUGAGUAGGGCGGGACACGUGGUAUCCUGUCUGAAUAUGGGGGGACCAUCCUCCAAGGCUAAAUACUCCUGACUGACCGAUAGUGAACCAGUACCGUGAGGGAAAGGCGAAAAGAACCCCGGCGAGGGGAGUGAAAAAGAACCUGAAACCGUGUACGUACAAGCAGUGGGAGCCUCUUUUAUGGGGUGACUGCGUACCUUUUGUAUAAUGGGUCAGCGACUUAUAUUCUGUAGCAAGGUUAACCGAAUAGGGGAGCCGAAGGGAAACCGAGUCUUAACUGGGCGUUAAGUUGCAGGGUAUAGACCCGAAACCCGGUGAUCUAGCCAUGGGCAGGUUGAAGGUUGGGUAACACUAACUGGAGGACCGAACCGACUAAUGUUGAAAAAUUAGCGGAUGACUUGUGGCUGGGGGUGAAAGGCCAAUCAAACCGGGAGAUAGCUGGUUCUCCCCGAAAGCUAUUUAGGUAGCGCCUCGUGAAUUCAUCUCCGGGGGUAGAGCACUGUUUCGGCAAGGGGGUCAUCCCGACUUACCAACCCGAUGCAAACUGCGAAUACCGGAGAAUGUUAUCACGGGAGACACACGGCGGGUGCUAACGUCCGUCGUGAAGAGGGAAACAACCCAGACCGCCAGCUAAGGUCCCAAAGUCAUGGUUAAGUGGGAAACGAUGUGGGAAGGCCCAGACAGCCAGGAUGUUGGCUUAGAAGCAGCCAUCAUUUAAAGAAAGCGUAAUAGCUCACUGGUCGAGUCGGCCUGCGCGGAAGAUGUAACGGGGCUAAACCAUGCACCGAAGCUGCGGCAGCGACGCUUAUGCGUUGUUGGGUAGGGGAGCGUUCUGUAAGCCUGUGAAGGUGUGCUGUGAGGCAUGCUGGAGGUAUCAGAAGUGCGAAUGCUGACAUAAGUAACGAUAAAGCGGGUGAAAAGCCCGCUCGCCGGAAGACCAAGGGUUCCUGUCCAACGUUAAUCGGGGCAGGGUGAGUCGACCCCUAAGGCGAGGCCGAAAGGCGUAGUCGAUGGGAAACAGGUUAAUAUUCCUGUACUUGGUGUUACUGCGAAGGGGGGACGGAGAAGGCUAUGUUGGCCGGGCGACGGUUGUCCCGGUUUAAGCGUGUAGGCUGGUUUUCCAGGCAAAUCCGGAAAAUCAAGGCUGAGGCGUGAUGACGAGGCACUACGGUGCUGAAGCAACAAAUGCCCUGCUUCCAGGAAAAGCCUCUAAGCAUCAGGUAACAUCAAAUCGUACCCCAAACCGACACAGGUGGUCAGGUAGAGAAUACCAAGGCGCUUGAGAGAACUCGGGUGAAGGAACUAGGCAAAAUGGUGCCGUAACUUCGGGAGAAGGCACGCUGAUAUGUAGGUGAAGUCCCUCGCGGAUGGAGCUGAAAUCAGUCGAAGAUACCAGCUGGCUGCAACUGUUUAUUAAAAACACAGCACUGUGCAAACACGAAAGUGGACGUAUACGGUGUGACGCCUGCCCGGUGCCGGAAGGUUAAUUGAUGGGGUUAGCGCAAGCGAAGCUCUUGAUCGAAGCCCCGGUAAACGGCGGCCGUAACUAUAACGGUCCUAAGGUAGCGAAAUUCCUUGUCGGGUAAGUUCCGACCUGCACGAAUGGCGUAAUGAUGGCCAGGCUGUCUCCACCCGAGACUCAGUGAAAUUGAACUCGCUGUGAAGAUGCAGUGUACCCGCGGCAAGACGGAAAGACCCCGUGAACCUUUACUAUAGCUUGACACUGAACAUUGAGCCUUGAUGUGUAGGAUAGGUGGGAGGCUUAGAAGUGUGGACGCCAGUCUGCAUGGAGCCGACCUUGAAAUACCACCCUUUAAUGUUUGAUGUUCUAACGUGGACCCGUAAUCCGGGUUGCGGACAGUGUCUGGUGGGUAGUUUGACUGGGGCGGUCUCCUCCUAAAGAGUAACGGAGGAGCACGAAGGUUGGCUAAUCCUGGUCGGACAUCAGGAGGUUAGUGCAAUGGCAUAAGCCAGCUUGACUGCGAGCGUGACGGCGCGAGCAGGUGCGAAAGCAGGUCAUAGUGAUCCGGUGGUUCUGAAUGGAAGGGCCAUCGCUCAACGGAUAAAAGGUACUCCGGGGAUAACAGGCUGAUACCGCCCAAGAGUUCAUAUCGACGGCGGUGUUUGGCACCUCGAUGUCGGCUCAUCACAUCCUGGGGCUGAAGUAGGUCCCAAGGGUAUGGCUGUUCGCCAUUUAAAGUGGUACGCGAGCUGGGUUUAGAACGUCGUGAGACAGUUCGGUCCCUAUCUGCCGUGGGCGCUGGAGAACUGAGGGGGGCUGCUCCUAGUACGAGAGGACCGGAGUGGACGCAUCACUGGUGUUCGGGUUGUCAUGCCAAUGGCACUGCCCGGUAGCUAAAUGCGGAAGAGAUAAGUGCUGAAAGCAUCUAAGCACGAAACUUGCCCCGAGAUGAGUUCUCCCUGACCCUUUAAGGGUCCUGAAGGAACGUUGAAGACGACGACGUUGAUAGGCCGGGUGUGUAAGCGCAGCGAUGCGUUGAGCUAACCGGUACUAAUGAACCGUGAGGCUUAACCUUACAAC